Molecule: long non-coding RNA, 625 nt
Filed under: Mus spicilegus (steppe mouse)
Lineage: Eukaryota; Metazoa; Chordata; Mammalia; Rodentia; Muridae
Description: lncRNA (ENSMSIG00000001815.1)
Source: RNAcentral
CAGCAAAUGAGCACAUGGAUGAGAGUAACCCCAGGAUGAGAUCUCAGUGGUCACAGGAAGUAUCUCUACAGUCUUCAUUGUCUUGGCUGCAAGGACUCUGUUUAACACUUGCUGGUGACUUCCUCAUAGCUGCUGGAGCCCAAUGUUUAAGUGAAGGCCCUGUUUGAGUAGUACACAACAGAGGUGAGAGUCACUUUUGAAAAGCACUGAAGCAGACUUCAGUGGUCUUCUCGAGGAGAUCACUUCCUGCCUAAUUCAGCUGAACUCCCAGCCAACUGGAACUCGACUUUGAGUUCUCAGCAGCUCAGCUGUUCAAAGACAGAUGGCUUAGGACUCAAAGAGGAAGGACACCCACAGCGGUCAAGGCCAGGAGACAUCCAAAGUACAGAGACUGCACUGUGGUCACUUGACUUCACCUGCUCUCAGGAUGCCUCUUGCACAGCUGACUCCAGUAUUUCCACCUUGCAAGAAGCAAGCCUCUGUACCUCCUCUUCACUUCUCAGACGAUGGCCCUGGCCAUCUCACUGUUCCUAUUGCCAGAAUUCCUCUCUUAUGCUGAGUGAAUGUGGACAUCUUCAAACAAGCUCCUGCUUAUCUGCUCUGGACAAACAGAGCUGUUCUUCAG